RNAcentral lists this ribosomal RNA (689 nucleotides) under Candidatus Phytoplasma pruni. RNAcentral's name for it is "bacterial SSU rRNA". It matches the Rfam family "Bacterial small subunit ribosomal RNA", at positions 642 to 1339 of the family's 1533-position model. Lineage: Bacteria; Bacillati; Mycoplasmatota; Mollicutes; Acholeplasmatales; Acholeplasmataceae. The record is from RNAcentral.
UAGAGUGAGAUAGAGGCAAGCGGAAUUCCAUGUGUAGCGGUAAAAUGCGUAAAUAUAUGGAGGAACACCAGAGGCGUAGGCGGCUUGCUGGGUCUUUACUGACGCUGAGGCACGAAAGCGUGGGGAGCAAACAGGAUUAGAUACCCUGGUAGUCCACGCCGUAAACGAUGAGUACUAAGUGUCGGGUAAAACUGGUACUGAAGUUAACACAUUAAGUACUCCGCCUGAGUAGUACGUACGCAAGUAUGAAACUUAAAGGAAUUGACGGGACUCCGCACAAGCGGUGGAUCAUGUUGUUUAAUUCGAAGAUACACGAAAAACCUUACCAGGUCUUGACAUUUUCUUGCGAAGUUAUAGAAAUAUAAUGGAGGUUAUCAGGAAAACAGGUGGUGCAUGGUUGUCGUCAGCUCGUGUCGUGAGAUGUUAGGUUAAGUCCUAAAACGAGCGCAACCCUUGUCGUUAAUUGCCAGCAUGUAAUGAUGGGGACUUUAACGAGACUGCCAAUGAAAAAUUGGAGGAAGGUGGGGAUUACGUCAAAUCAUCAUGCCCCUUAUGAUCUGGGCUACAAACGUGAUACAAUGGUUGAUACAAAGAGUAGCUGAAACGCGAGUUCUUAACCAAUCUCAAAAAAUCAAUCUCAGUUCGGAUUGAAGUCUGCAACUCGACUUCAUGAAGUUGGAAUCGCUAGU